CAACCUACAAGUCCUUUGUUGACUUUGUUAGGCUUGGAUAUUGGAGGUCUUUGCUGGCUGUUUAUUAGCCAGCUCCUCUUAAAUGCAUUAGCUUGGUUCCUCUGCGAAUCGGCUCUCGGUGUGAUAAAUGUCUACGCCGUGACCGUGAAGCGUUUAUGGGCGAGCUUCUAA
RNAcentral lists this unclassified non-coding RNA (171 nucleotides) under Favolus brasiliensis. RNAcentral describes it as "partial ITS2". The record is from RNAcentral. Lineage: Eukaryota; Fungi; Basidiomycota; Agaricomycetes; Polyporales; Polyporaceae.